RNAcentral lists this non-coding RNA (302 nucleotides) under Streptomyces qinglanensis. RNAcentral describes it as "Streptomyces sp. 172205 Streptomyces sRNA 4677". It matches the Rfam family "Streptomyces sRNA 4677". Rfam says of the family: Located in the intergenic region between anti-sigma factor SCO4677 gene and a putative regulatory protein gene SCO4676. scr4677 expression requires the SCO4677 activity and scr4677 sRNA itself seem to affect the levels of the SCO4676-associated transcripts. Lineage: Bacteria; Bacillati; Actinomycetota; Actinomycetes; Kitasatosporales; Streptomycetaceae. The record is from Rfam by way of RNAcentral.
CGUCCCGGUGCUCCGCGACAUCACAGACGUAAAGAACCAGCGAAGCACCGUGCCAAGCCCACCAACCUCCCGUAACCCACGAGAGUGAAGGAAGUGAACUCGGCUCGCUUUCCCGCCCGUUCGCUGGAAUAGGCUCCAGUCGAGCACCCGCUCCAUCCGUACGACGUCGAAACGGCGACCGCACGAGAAUCCGCACGUCAACCGCACGACGACCGCACGACGACCGCACACAUACAACGGCCCCCGGCCGGGACUGCCAUCCCGAUCGAGGGCCUGACCACCGAGGAAGAAGAGCCUUCCCC